Molecule: unclassified non-coding RNA, 644 nt
Filed under: Hevea brasiliensis (rubber tree)
Lineage: Eukaryota; Viridiplantae; Streptophyta; Magnoliopsida; Malpighiales; Euphorbiaceae
Source: RNAcentral
AGAAGUUGUUACCCUAUGUCUUAUGAUCACUCAAAAGUUUGAAUUAAAAUUUUUCAAGUUUUGCAGAAUUAAUUAUGGCAAAUUAACUGGCCUGGACUCAGGUACCCUGUGUCUGCAGGAUUCCGGGUUCAGGUUAGUGGCUUUGACUCCCAUUUUAGAGUUCUUACACUUUAAAUUUGAGGCACAUUUCUGAAUCAAAGUUAGAGCCCUAUUUCUUAGGUUUCCAGAAUAGUAUGGCUUGUCCCAAUUGGAGUUUCCUAGUAGGAGAUAUGACCAAAAGACUGUUCUGGGAUCAAGUGGUCACUUAGGCAAUUCCUAGAAUUUACAUGCUAGCUUGACCUAAUCAAUUGACCUAGUUUCCUUGAUUUCUGGAUUUUGGUCAAAACAUCAAUGUUGUAAUGACCAAAAUGCCCCAUGGUUACUAGGAAGAAAAAUGGUGGAAUAAAAUAGCUCCCAUGGUUCGGCCAAGAUGAGAAAAUUGAAGAAGAUGGUCUCUUUUUGGCUAUUUAAGUUAGUUUGUCUCAUUUAUAUAUGCUUGUCCAAUUUUAAUUGGGUAGAACUUUUAAUGAUGUCAUUUUGACAUCAUGCUCAUGUAAUAAUUCAUUUAUAUUUUGAUUUUCUUUCUUUUCUUUUCUUUUCCCUUU